GGGACAGAGGGAAUUUUCGGUGGAGCGGUAAAAUGCGUAGAGAUCGAAAAGAACACCAACGGCGAAAGCACUCUGCUG
RNAcentral lists this non-coding RNA (78 nucleotides) under Ananas comosus (pineapple). RNAcentral describes it as "Bacterial small subunit ribosomal RNA". It matches the Rfam family "Bacterial small subunit ribosomal RNA", at positions 654 to 731 of the family's 1533-position model. The record is from Rfam by way of RNAcentral. Lineage: Eukaryota; Viridiplantae; Streptophyta; Magnoliopsida; Poales; Bromeliaceae.